GUUUUCUUAGUUUUUCUUUCAACAAAUACAAAUAUUGAGACUCCACAAAAGAAUUGUUAAAGACCUACAUUAGGAAAAUAAAAAUAAAAACUUGACAACCAUCAAUCCAAGCAUAUGAGUUGGCGUUCAAUUGUCCAUGACUUGCGGCCUUAAAGAUGCUAUGCAACUUUCAAUCACUAUGAUUAUCAAGCUAAAGAUGACUCUCAAAUCACUUUUGUGCAAGUUUCUAGCAGAGAUAGAGCUGUUUGUAGCAGAGAUAUGAAUGCUUAGUAACCCAACAACCAAAAAAAAAUUAAAAAUUAAAAAAAUUAAAACCCUGAUCGACCACCAUAGAAUGACGGUCAAUCAAUCCCGAUGGUCGACCGCUACCAUUGACUGGGCUCGAUUGUUGGGCUUAGUCUAAGGUUGAGGCGGUUGACCGCCUCAUCCAUAUCAUGCCACAGUGGUCAAUUGGUCCACUAAGGCAGUCGAUCGCCUCAGACUGAGAUGGGUGAUCGAGCUCGAUUUAUCCAAUUAGUCGACAGUCUUUCUAUUCCACUCUUGGUGGUCGAUCAGUCCACUAAGCCGGUCGACCGCUUGAGAUCGAGUUGGGCAGUCAAGCUCGAUCAAUUCGAUCGAUUAACCAUGACAUGGUGUUGAUCGACCGUGAUUUUUUUUUUAAUGUUGGAUUUUCAAUCUGCAUCCUUUAAUCUACAUCUCCUUUUCUCAAUACAUGCCCCUACCGACUUGAUUGAGACUAUUCUUACACAUUUGAUGAUUUUUAUGAAUUCAUUUGAAAUUUGAUCAUUUGCCUAUGAAUUUCUUAUGCAUGAAUGUUAAAAAUAUUGGAUCAAGCUAGAAAAAUUGAGAUCAACGGUCGAUCGGUUACCUUGAUAUAGUCGAUGGCAUAAAAUCGAGACCAAUGGCCAAGUCCGGUUGAUACGGGCAGUCGACCGGCCCUUAAGGGAAAAGAAAAAUGUGGCAGGGUUCUAGUAGAGUGAAAGAGAGCAAGACAAAGGUUCAUUAUGAUAAAUUUUAUGGUACACCAUAUCGGA
Molecule: long non-coding RNA, 1034 nt
Filed under: Elaeis guineensis (African oil palm)
Lineage: Eukaryota; Viridiplantae; Streptophyta; Magnoliopsida; Arecales; Arecaceae
Description: long non-coding RNA (EGUI_LNC078548)
Source: RNAcentral